GCGGGUAUGGUGGAAUGGCAGACACGGUGGAUUUAAGACCCACUGCGAAAGUGUACAGGUUCAAGUCCUGUUACCCGCA
RNAcentral lists this transfer RNA (79 nucleotides) under Paenibacillus polymyxa SC2. It matches the Rfam family "tRNA". From Rfam's summary of the family: Transfer RNA (tRNA) molecules are approximately 80 nucleotides in length. Their secondary structure includes four short double-helical elements and three loops (D, anti-codon, and T loops). Lineage: Bacteria; Bacillati; Bacillota; Bacilli; Caryophanales; Paenibacillaceae. The record is from Rfam by way of RNAcentral.